This is a long non-coding RNA of Amphibalanus amphitrite, 917 nucleotides long. RefSeq lists it as uncharacterized. The record is from RefSeq and is a predicted model, not a curated record. NCBI's taxonomy places the organism in Eukaryota, Metazoa, Arthropoda, Thecostraca, Balanomorpha, Balanidae. The transcript is spliced from 4 exons.
GCACUUUGUCACUGCCUUCGUCGCAUUGCGGGUGUCAGGGGUAAUUUAUUAGAUGGAUUUAUUGGUAUUGUGACCGUUGAAAGGUGGUGCUCUAUCAGUCGCCUUAGUGGUGAACCAGUGGCAUUGACACAGGAGUUCAUCACUUCACCUACCACCAGGAGGGAUCCCUCCUUCAGAUCCAAGUCUGCUGUGAGCAUCAGCUUCUAUCCAGACAGCACCCAUGAGGCGGACCGGUGACCCUCGUGUUCAGCCACCACGGGUAGCUGCAGUUUCCGUUCGGGUGACGUCACGAUGCCUCUGCUGAGUCCUCGCAAUAACGGCCGGAUGGCUCAGAGUGCGGCCGGCUCGCGAAACUCGCAGCUCUACACCGUCGAGGUGGGAGACACGCGCUUCCAGAUCCUCAAACGUUACCAGAACCUCAAACCGAUCGGCUCCGGCGCCCAGGGCAUCGUCUGGUGAGUGGCAUUCUACUACCUAGUCAGGGCAUGGUCUGGUGAGUAGGGUACUGUAGGGAAUUAUACUACCUACCUGUCAGGGCAUGGUCUGGUGAGUAGGGCAUUGUAGGAAAUCACACCACAUUUCUGUCCGGACAUGGUCUGGUGAGUAGGGGAAUAUACUACUUGUCGCCAUUGUCUGAUGAGUAGGGUACUGUAGGGAAUUAUACUACCUACCUGUCAGGGCAUGGUCUGGUGAGUAGGGGACUCUUACUGACUGUCUCCAUUUUACUACGCCUGUGAGAGGUACUGCUGUGUGGUGUGCAGGGUAAACUACCUCUGUUUUAUAGCUGAACACUCUGCCCCCCCCCCCCCCAAGGAACGUUUCGAUUAAUCAAAAAGCUCACCUGUCAAAUAAAGAUCGAUGUAAGGGAGUAUGUGAGUGGAUGUAGAUGUGCCCCGUGGUAGCAAAAAAAAAAAAAA